This 478-nucleotide ribosomal RNA is filed under the name uncultured bacterium. RNAcentral describes it as "partial 16S ribosomal RNA". It matches the Rfam family "Bacterial small subunit ribosomal RNA", at positions 28 to 523 of the family's 1533-position model. The record is from RNAcentral.
GACGAACACUGGCGGCGCGCUUAACACAUGCAAGUCGAACGGUAAGGCCCUUCGGGGUACACGAGUGGCGAACGGGUGAGUAACACGUGGGUGAUCUGCCCUGCACUUCGGGAUAAGCCUGGGAAACUGGGUCUAAUACCGGAUAGGACCCUGGGAUGCAUGUCCUGGGGUGGAAAGCUUUUGCGGUGUGGGAGGGGCCCGCGGCCGAUCAGCUUGUUGGUGGGGUGAUGGCCUACCAAGGCGACGACGGAUAGCCGGGCUGAGAGGGUGACCGGCCACACGAGGACUGAGAUACGGCCCAGACUCCUACGGGGGGCAGCAGUGGGGAAUAUUGCACAAUGGGCGCAAGCCUGAUGCAGCGACGCCGCGUGAGGGAUGACGGCCUUCGGGUUGUAAACCUCUUUCAGCACCGACGAAGCGCAAGUGACGGUAGGUGCAGAAGAAGGACCGGCCAACUACGUGCCAGCCGCCGCCGUAA